GCAGGUGUAGUUAAAUGGUAUAACUCUAGCCUUCCAAGCUAAUAUCGGCAGUUCGAUUCUGCUCACCUGCUCCA
RNAcentral lists this transfer RNA (74 nucleotides) under bacterium. RNAcentral's name for it is "tRNA-Gly". It matches the Rfam family "tRNA". Rfam says of the family: Transfer RNA (tRNA) molecules are approximately 80 nucleotides in length. The record is from RNAcentral.